This 484-nucleotide ribosomal RNA is filed under the name uncultured bacterium. RNAcentral's name for it is "partial 16S ribosomal RNA". It matches the Rfam family "Bacterial small subunit ribosomal RNA", at positions 30 to 507 of the family's 1533-position model. The record is from RNAcentral.
AUUGAACGCUGGCGGCAGGCCUAACACAUGCAAGUCGAGCGGAUGAAGGGAGCUUGCUCCUGGAUUCAGCGGCGGACGGGUGAGUAAUGCCUAGGAAUCUGCCUUGUAGUGGGGGAUAACGUCCGGAAACGGGCGCUAAUACCGCAUACGUCCUGAGGGAGAAAGUGGGGGAUCUUCGGACCUCACGCUAUCAGAUGAGCCUAGGUCGGAUUAGCUAGUUGGUGGGGUAGAGGCCUACCAAGGCGACGAUCCGUAACUGGUCUGAGAGGAUGAUCAGUCACACUGGAACUGAGACACGGUCCAGACUCCUACGGGAGGCAGCAGUGGGGAAUAUUGGACAAUGGGCGAAAGCCUGAUCCAGCCAUGCCGCGUGUGUGAAGAAGGUCUUCGGAUUGUAAAGCACUUUAAGUUGGGAGGAAGGGCAGUAAGUUAAUACAUUGCUGUUUUGACGUUACCAACAGAAUAAGCACCGGCUAACUUCGUG